This 467-nucleotide ribosomal RNA is filed under the name uncultured bacterium. RNAcentral describes it as "partial 16S ribosomal RNA". It matches the Rfam family "Bacterial small subunit ribosomal RNA", at positions 28 to 507 of the family's 1533-position model. The record is from RNAcentral.
GACGAACGCUGGCGGCGUGCUUAACACAUGCAAGUCGAACGGAAAGGCCCUGCUGUUGUUGGGUGCUCGAGUGGCGAACGGGUGAGUAACACGUGAGUAACCUGCCCUUGACUUUGGGAUAACUUCAGGAAACUGGGGCUAAUACCGGAUAGGAGCUCCUGCUGCAUGGUGUGGGUUGGAAAGUUUCGGCGGUUGGGGAUGGAGUCGCGGCUUAUCAGCUUUUCGGUGUGGUAGUGAGUUGCCAAGGCUUUGACGGGUGGCCGGCCUGAGAGGGUGACCGGCCCAAUUGGGAUCGAGAGACGGCCCAAAUUCAUCUGGGGGGAAGCAGGGGGGAAUAUCCCAGAAGGGGCGGAAGAGUGAGGAAGCAAGGCGGCUUGCGGGAUGCCGGCCUUCGGGUGGAAAACGGGUUUCGCUGGUAAGGAAGCGUUGGGGCGGGUACUGGGCAAAGAAGCACCGGCAACUACGUG